Molecule: small nucleolar RNA, 407 nt
Filed under: Chinchilla lanigera (long-tailed chinchilla)
Lineage: Eukaryota; Metazoa; Chordata; Mammalia; Rodentia; Chinchillidae
Description: Small Cajal body-specific RNA 2 (ENSCLAG00000020727.1)
Rfam family: Small Cajal body-specific RNA 2
Source: Rfam by way of RNAcentral
CUUCACGGGCGGGAGCGCGGCCCGGGGUGAGUGUGUGUAGGUCGACUGCGUGCGGGUCGAGUGCGUUGUGGAAGGUGCUUGUGGGUUGAGAGGACGAAUGGAUGCGUGCGUGAGCGUGCAAGGCGAGCGAGUGAUGCCCCAGCCCCUCCCCUCGUCUACACCUUGAUCUUAUUUGAUCGGGUCGUGACCCCAGCCCCGCCGGGCCGCCCCGAAAUGAAAUGCUCCCCUCCUGCGAAGCCCGCCUCUCGGGGCGCUGUGCAGCGAGGCCGCGUGGGCGGCGGCGGCGCCGUGCUUCCCGAGGUCCCGAGCUGGUCCUGCGGGCGCGGUGCUCAGAAGUGAUGAAUUGAUCAGAUAGACGAGGCCGGGCCUGCCCCGGGCCGCUGAUUAUCGAGGCGAUUCUGAUCUGA